GCGGUAUCCUGACCGUGCAAAGGUAGCAUAAUCAUUUGCCUCUUAAUUGGUGGCUAGUAUGAAUGGACACACGCAAGCAUCGCUGUCUCACUAAUAUAAAUAAAAACUAACCUUUAGGUGAAGAGGCCUAAAUAAAAUAAAAAGACAAAAAGACCCUAUGGAGCUUUAUUUUUCCUCCUUUAACGUACAAUAUACUAAAAUACCUUCCAGGACUAACAAAUUUAGUUGGGGCGACUUAGGAAAACAAUAAAUCUUCCUAGUUUAACAAGAAAAUAAUUCAUCCAACGAUCCGCCAUGCGAAUACAGAUCCAGCUACCCUAGGGAUAACAGGCUAAUUCUUCUCGAGAGCCCGAAUUGACAGAAGAGAUUG
RNAcentral lists this ribosomal RNA (370 nucleotides) under Laonice weddellia. RNAcentral's name for it is "partial 16S ribosomal RNA". It matches the Rfam family "Bacterial large subunit ribosomal RNA", at positions 1933 to 2520 of the family's 2925-position model. The record is from RNAcentral. Lineage: Eukaryota; Metazoa; Annelida; Polychaeta; Spionida; Spionidae.